GACGAACGCUGGCGGCGUGCUUAACGCAUGCAAGUCGAACGGAAAGGCCCUGCUUUUGUGGGGUGCUCGAGUGGCGAACGGGUGAGUAACACGUGAGUAACCUGCCCUUGACUUUGGGAUAACUUCAGGAAACUGGGGCUAAUACCGGAUAGGAGCUCCUGCUGCAUGGUGGGGGUUGGAAAGUUUCGGCGGUUGGGGAUGGACUCGCGGCUUAUCAGCUUGUUGGUGGGGUAGUGGCUUACCAAGGCUUUGACGGGUAGCCGGCCUGAGAGGGUGACCGGCCACAUUGGGACUGAGAUACGGCCCAGACUCCGACGGGAGGCAGCAGUGGGGAAUAUUGCACAAUGGGCGGAAGCCUGAUGCAGCAACGCCGCGUGCGGGAUGACGGCCUUCGGGUUGUAAACCGCUUUCGCCUGUGACGAAGCGUGAGUGACGGUAAUGGGUAAAGAAGCACCGGCUAACUACGUG
RNAcentral lists this ribosomal RNA (468 nucleotides) under uncultured bacterium. Its description in RNAcentral is "partial 16S ribosomal RNA". It matches the Rfam family "Bacterial small subunit ribosomal RNA", at positions 28 to 507 of the family's 1533-position model. The record is from RNAcentral.